CUGAUCCAGCCAUGCCGCGUGCAGGAUGACGGUCCUAUGGAUUGUAAACUGCUUUUAUACGAGAAGAAACACUACUUCGUGAAGUAGCUUGACGGUAUCGUAAGAAUAAGGAUCGGCUAACUCCGUGCCAGCAGCCGCGGUAAU
This 144-nucleotide ribosomal RNA is filed under the name uncultured bacterium. Its description in RNAcentral is "partial 16S ribosomal RNA". It matches the Rfam family "Bacterial small subunit ribosomal RNA", at positions 383 to 524 of the family's 1533-position model. The record is from RNAcentral.